This 253-nucleotide ribosomal RNA is filed under the name uncultured bacterium. Its description in RNAcentral is "partial 16S ribosomal RNA". It matches the Rfam family "Bacterial small subunit ribosomal RNA", at positions 524 to 776 of the family's 1533-position model. The record is from RNAcentral.
UACAGAGGGUGCAAACGUUGUUCGGAAUUACUGGGCAUAAAGCGCACGUAGGCGGCGCGUCGAGUGUGGAGUGAAAUCCCGCGGCUUACCCGUGGAACUGCUUCGCAUACUGACGUGCUGGAGUGUGGUAGAGGAGAGCGGAACUCUUGGUGGAGCGGUGAAAUGCGUAGAUAUCAAGAGGAACACCAAAGGCGAAGGCAGCUCUCUGGGCCAUGACUGACGCUGAGGUGCGAAAGCUAGGGGAUCAAACGGG